Mya arenaria is the source of this 236-nucleotide long non-coding RNA. RefSeq lists it as uncharacterized. NCBI's taxonomy places the organism in Eukaryota, Metazoa, Mollusca, Bivalvia, Myida, Myidae. The record is from RefSeq and is a predicted model, not a curated record. The transcript is spliced from 3 exons.
GAGGGCGUGGAAACGAAACAUCACGAUAGUAUCUUUUGACAUCACGCUUCAAGACUCCGAUGUCAGGAGGCUGGUGAUGUCACAGAUUUUAACCUGGCUUGAACAUGCCAAGUGUACUGGCAUCUCAGCUGUUCUUCUCCAUCAUUUGACGGAUGAGCAUGAGUGGCCUCCCCCGAUUCAAUAUUAUGAGUAAAGUCAUGGGCCAUUGAGCCAAGAGGAGAGGAAUUCACCAUGGC